GGAGAGGUACCGAAGCGGUCAUAACGGCGCCGACUCGAAAUCGGAUGGUCGGGGAAACCCGGCACGUGGGUUCGAAUCCCACCCUCUCCGCCA
RNAcentral lists this transfer RNA (93 nucleotides) under Rhodocyclaceae bacterium. RNAcentral describes it as "tRNA-Ser". It matches the Rfam family "tRNA". From Rfam's summary of the family: Transfer RNA (tRNA) molecules are approximately 80 nucleotides in length. Their secondary structure includes four short double-helical elements and three loops (D, anti-codon, and T loops). Lineage: Bacteria; Pseudomonadati; Pseudomonadota; Betaproteobacteria; Rhodocyclales; Rhodocyclaceae. The record is from RNAcentral.